This 203-nucleotide long non-coding RNA is filed under the name Mytilus galloprovincialis (Mediterranean mussel). The record is from RNAcentral. Lineage: Eukaryota; Metazoa; Mollusca; Bivalvia; Mytilida; Mytilidae.
AAUUUUCAAAUCAUAAUCAUAAACAUAUCAAUUAUGUUUGUAGGUGUUCCAUGCCAGUUUCCAAAUGGAGACAUGUAUCUAGAUGAUUUUUAUCCGGACUAUUGGGAAAGCAUGGAAAGAAACAUGGUGGAUUUACUGUGCUGUUUACUGUUCUGACUAUAAUCGUAUUCAAAAUAAGGGGGAUACCAAACCUUCAUUAAUGU